CUUUAAUAACUUCCACAAUUUUUAUCAGAUCAACCAAAUUUUCAGAAAUCACAACUACUAUAGUUGCUAUUCUCUAUUACGGAAUCAAUAUAUUAAACAUGGAAAUAAAGCACCAAGCUCUGUUUAAGGUGAAGUUUGAACUAACACUCAGGCUCUGAAAAAAAACGAAGUGCAUCCUAUUAAAAAUCUUUAGUACUUAUUGCAAGGCAUAAUCACUGUAGGAUAAACUUAUAAAAGAAAAGAGCUUCUUGACUCGAGUAAAUGUUCAACAAACAGGGACAUGAAAAAAUGUAGCAGCUUUGACAGUACCAUACCGCAAACUACAGAGGGUUCCCAGUUUACAAGGAGCUCAAAAAAGUUUUUACUAAGUGGACACAGUAAGCUCUCAAGCAACAUCAUCAACAUCUAAAACUAUCAUCACCCUGUAAUCUUUGAAAACGCUUUAAAAUCGUGUAUGGAAAGCACCACAUCCCAUGAAACUUCAACAACAGAAGCCGUCAAACAACCAGAUGAACAAACGACUCCGAAAAUAGAAGAAAUGUUAUAUAACCUGCACGAAAGUAUGAUAGUACAUCUAUCUUAUAAGAAAUCAAAAUGUUUUAAUAGAAGUUUUUUUUCCUGCAAAAACAUUCGAACCAAUAAAUGGUUCCCAUUCGUAUAGGACUAUGGAAUACCAAACAGAGUCAAAAAUAUCACAUUUUUGGCUUUACUCUUUGUGCUUUAUAUCGCUCUCUUUCGAUUUUUCAUUGUGCUAUGAACGUCAAAAGAAAACCUUAUUAUAUAUAUAUCGUAUAAUUUUUGACUGGAGUGUACCACUAACAGUCAAAACCAACUCUUACCCUGCUGCGACCCAAUCUCACCAAAAGUUUUUAUCAAAAUUUCCUUUCGUUGCGUUCAAGCAAUCUGCCUACUAUUGACCGUAUUAUCAAGAGAUGUAGAAAGCCAAUCAUCAUAAUUAUACCAAAACCUUGUAAAGAUUUCACAACUGCCUCAUUGCCUCAAUCCGUCUCCAUCAUGGCUCUGUGGCACCUAAAAUCUCCAAAAGUUUGCUUUAGGUAGGAAAUGGCUUGGUGUUGAUUUUUGUGGCAA
Drosophila nasuta is the source of this 1089-nucleotide long non-coding RNA. RefSeq lists it as uncharacterized. The transcript is spliced from 3 exons. Lineage: Eukaryota; Metazoa; Arthropoda; Insecta; Diptera; Drosophilidae. The record is from RefSeq and is a predicted model, not a curated record.